This 405-nucleotide ribosomal RNA is filed under the name uncultured bacterium. RNAcentral describes it as "partial 16S ribosomal RNA". It matches the Rfam family "Bacterial small subunit ribosomal RNA", at positions 28 to 526 of the family's 1533-position model. The record is from RNAcentral.
GAUGAACGCUGACAGCAUGCUUAACACAUGCAAGUCAACUUUUGGCGGACGGUUAAGUAACGCGUAAAGAUCUUGCCUCACAGAUAGGGACACCAUUUGGAAACGAUUGCUAAUUCCAGCUACUGUGAGAGGGCUGUGCGUCCCAUUAGCUAGUUGGAGAGGUAACGGCUCACCAAGGCGAUGAUGGUUAGCCGGCCUGAUAGGGUGAUCGGCCACAAGGGGACUGAGAACCGGCCCUUACUCCUACGUGAGGCAGCAGUGGGGAAUAGUGGACAAUGGACCAAAGUCUGAUCCAGCAAUGCUGUGGGCACGAUGAAGUUUUCGGAAUGUAAAGUGCUUUCAGUUGGGAAGCAGUACCAACAGAAGAAGUUACGGCUAAAUACGUGCCAGCAGCCGCGGUAAUAC